RNAcentral lists this ribosomal RNA (548 nucleotides) under uncultured fungus. Its description in RNAcentral is "eukaryotic LSU rRNA". The stretch from base 186 to 338 matches the Rfam family "5.8S ribosomal RNA". Lineage: Eukaryota; Fungi. The record is from RNAcentral.
AAGUCGUAACAAGGUCUCCGUUGGUGAACCAGCGGAGGGAUCAUUACUGAGUACUACACUCUCUACCCUUUGUGAACUAUUAUACCUGUUGCUUCGGCGGCGCCCGCAAGGGUGCCCGCCGGUCUCAUCAGAAUCUCUGUUUUCGAACCCGACGAUACUUCUGAGUGUUCUUAGCGAACUGUCAAAACUUUUAACAACGGAUCUCUUGGCUCCAGCAUCGAUGAGAACGCAGCGAAACGCGAUAUGUAAUGUGAAUUGCAGAAUUCAGUGAAUCAUCGAAUCUUUGAACGCACAUGGCGCCUUCCAGUAUCCUGGUAGGCAUGCCUGUCCGAGCGUCGUUUCAACCCUCGAGCCCCUGUGGCCCGGCGUUGGGGAUCUGCCACGGCAGGCCCCUAAAACCAGUGGCGGACCCGAAGGCCCUCUCCUUUGCGCAGUAGCAUUCGCCUCGCAUCGGGAGUCCUCGGCGUCCUGCCUCUAAACCCCCCACAAGCCCGCUUCGGCGGCACCAAGGUUGACCUCGAUCAGGUAGGAAUACCCGCUGAACUUAA